Molecule: ribosomal RNA, 165 nt
Filed under: Stetsonia coryne
Lineage: Eukaryota; Viridiplantae; Streptophyta; Magnoliopsida; Caryophyllales; Cactaceae
Description: 5.8S ribosomal RNA
Rfam family: 5.8S ribosomal RNA
About the family: 5.8S ribosomal RNA (5.8S rRNA) is a component of the large subunit of the eukaryotic ribosome.
Source: RNAcentral
CGUAACGACUCUCGGCAACGGAUAUCUCGGCUCUCGCAUCGAUGAAGAACGUAGCGAAAUGCGAUACUUGGUGUGAAUUGCAGAAUCCCGUGAACCAUCGAGUCUUUGAACGCAAGUUGCGCCCGAAGCCUUCCGGUCGAGGGCACGUCUGCCUGGGCGUCACGC